RNAcentral lists this long non-coding RNA (1379 nucleotides) under Rattus norvegicus (Norway rat). Its description in RNAcentral is "long non-coding RNA NONRATT033096". Lineage: Eukaryota; Metazoa; Chordata; Mammalia; Rodentia; Muridae. The record is from RNAcentral.
AUGUCGGUGACAUCCACAGCAGCCAGAACCUCUACAUCCAGAAAUCAGCAAAGCAAGAGAAGAGGCACUACAAGAACUGUGACUCUGCUCCUGCCGAGACCUCAACGACUCCAGACAGCAAAUACAGAAAUGGUCUCUUCUCCGAAGAUGGCCUGGAGUCAGGAGAAAGAGGUGCUUGGAAGUCAGGCCCUCCCAUAUUUCAGCACCGGUGCUGCUAUGUCCCACUGUGAAAACUCGAGUUCCAAGCCCUCCACACUUCCUGCUAGCAAGUGGAGCUGAGGAUACACAAGAAAUAGACGAAUUCGUCUGGAAGGAGUGCGGUCAAGAUCUUGGCAUCUAGAGUGGAGACCAUAAGAACCACCCGAAUGUGGGAAUGGCUUUGGCACAGAGUAUGGGUGGAAACUGGAGGAGCGGAGAGGAUUCUGAGGGAAGCUUUAGUGAAAUGUGGAAGUUCAGUGAGCACAUGGUUUAUAUGACAGAAACAGAGAGCUUCAUAGCCACUGGAAAUCAGCUGGGAAGAAAGGUCGCCGGUGAGCUGAGUGGCCCAGCGGAGAAUAUGGCAGCCAGGGUUAAGUGUUAACCAGCUUCUUCCUAGGGACAAUAACCAAUACAGUGUAUUUCAGUUCUCUUGUAGUUAUAACCAAAUACUUGACACACAUCCUAAAGGGAACGCACAUAUUUUAUGUCUUCACGAACUUCCACCCAUCCAUAGCUCCAUUGACUCUAAGCCCUUAGUGAAGCAGAGCAGCGCUGUGGUAGACAAGGUGGCUGUUCACUUCACGGUGGACAGGAAGCAGAGAGAAAGACAAACUUGGAACCAGGUAUAGCCUUCAAAGUCGGGCCCUAGUGACCACAUCUCCCAAAACCAUGUCAUCUGCUGAGGACAAAGUAUUUUAGAGGCGAGCCCGUGAGGGACAAUUCGAUCUCGAACCACACCAGACUGGUAUGUGAUAGACUUGAGUGAUGGCUGUUCUUGGUUGUCAGCUCUAGUACAUCUGGAAUUAACCAAAACCCAAAUGGCUAGGCACUCCUGGGAGGGAUUUUUUUUUCUUAAUUAAAUCAAGUGGGAAGACAAAAUCCUAAUUCAAAUCUUUGAGGCGGGAAGACCCAUCUUUAACCUGGGCCACAUCUUCUGCUGUCAGCCUACAUAAACAUGAAGAAGUAAACACUCACUCUCUGCUUGUUCUCCCCUUGCUGGCCAGUCUAUUCCUUCACUGCCAUUAGAGCCUACUUCUUCACAAGUCCAGUAUCUGCUGAAGACCGGCUGAAACUCCAGCUUCCUGGACUGGACAAUUACCAGAUUCUUGUACCUUCCAUUGGUGGACAGCCAUUGUUGGACUAGCUGGACCACAGCCUGUAAACCAUUCUAAUAAAUCCCC